CAAAGAAUCAGACCUGGGCUGAUUGAGUAAAAGUGUAGUGAACUCCGGCUUCUAAGAGCACAUCUCACACUGCUUUACCUACCAAACCAUGCCUACCACAGUGACACCUAAAUUCAAACAAAUAAUAAAUGAAAAUAGAUUUCUUUAAUAUUUGGACUCUAUAUGGGUUUAUAAAUCAUAAAACCAUUUCUUCCUUCCUUUCUGACUGCCAUGUGAGUCACUUUACACAAAUGUCUACAAACCAUGGAAAGAAAUCCAACAUCAAAAAGCAUGACCACCUAUGAAUGGGCACCUUGACCCUGAACGGAGUACAAAUGUUUAAGAAGAGAGCCCUUUGGAUUCUUCAUAUUGUGCUAUUAUUUCAAUUACAAGACUUCAGGGCUUAAUACAGAUCAUUCAUUAAUACAAGAGUCCACACAGGAGAAGUUCGUAUUCAGCUCAAGACACCCUGCAAAUCCCAGACUGGCCUCACAAGGACUAAACAGUCACGGUGCCAGCAUGAAGAAGAGAACUCGUUUGUAUAGUAGAAGCUGAACCAAGUGAAAUUACCUACAUUUAACUGCCUUUGACCUACAAAAAGAGCAAUUUCAUAUGGCUCCACUUCAUUUGUUGUAAACUGGAUGGAUGUGGUCUUGGGAGAACUG
Molecule: long non-coding RNA, 644 nt
Organism: Cervus elaphus (red deer)
Lineage: Eukaryota; Metazoa; Chordata; Mammalia; Artiodactyla; Cervidae
Exons: 3
Source: RefSeq, a predicted model, not a curated record